Non-coding RNA from Macaca mulatta (Rhesus monkey), 954 nucleotides. The record is from RefSeq and is a predicted model, not a curated record. Lineage: Eukaryota; Metazoa; Chordata; Mammalia; Primates; Cercopithecidae.
AGAGGAGUGAAGGGUUUUCAACACUGAGUGGAUCAAGGAGUAUUACAUGCAAGAGGCUAUAUUUCACUGAAUGUUGAAGUAUGAGUAAAAGGAGUCGGAUGAAUCAACUAAAAAUGUGAGGAAUGAAAAGGGAAAUUUACAGUCACAGAAUCAGUACGUGCUUUCAGGACACAGUGUAUUUGGCCUCAAUCCUGUAAGAAAAUGUGAAGCCACUUGAAGAUUUUAACAUAAAAUUAGUUCCUACUUUACAUGACUAUGAAAAUAAAUUUCAGAUGAAAAAAAUCCUAAACUCAAACAUUUCUUUUUAAAAAUUAAUAGAAGAUAUUGUUUGAGCAUAUAUUUAUGAUCUAGGCCAGAGAAAGCUUUCUGAAAUGAGAGAGAAAAUUCAUAUCAAUAAAUGUGGCAGUGUAAUAAAUAAAUUGCUUUUGAAUGAUAAGAAGACACCAUAAACAGAGUCAGAAGACCAGACACUGCCUGGGAGAAGGUAUUGGCAACAUGUGUAAUAGCCAAAGAAUCAGAAUAUAAAAAGCACUGCUACAGUAUAAGAAGAAAAGGCUAAACAAUCAAUAUAUAAAUAGGUAAAAUGUGUAAACAAAAAAUUUACUGUUUAUACAAACAUUUAAAAUACUUUGGUGGCCAUCAGGGAAAUGCCAAUUAUAGUAACAAUAAGAAUCCAUUUUCACAUAUUUCACAUAUUGGCAAAGACUAAAGCACUUGACAAUAUCAAGUGUGGCCAGAGAUGGGAAGUGGCGGCUCUGUCGUACACUGCUGGUGGCACAGUCAGCAUGGACAGCUCUUUGGUGGUGUUUGUUAAAAGGACCAGAACAGGAUGGGAUCUUUCAUUCAUCAGAGCUUCUAAACUUAGUUCUGCUCAGGCAUCUCCCAGUGGCUCCCACCAGCUCUCUCAUUUGUAACUGCAGAGACAUUGAAGAGUAUUUUCAUCUCAGAACAGAA